GAUGAACGCUGGCGGCGUGCCUAAUACAUGCAAGUCGAGCGAACAGAUGAGGAGCUUGCUCCUCUGACGUUAGCGGCGGACGGGUGAGUAACACGUGGAUAACCUACCUAUAAGACUGGGAUAACUUCGGGAAACCGGAGCUAAUACCGGAUAAUAUAUUGAACCGCAUGGUUCAAUAGUGAAAGACGGUUUUGCUGUCACUUAUAGAUGGAUCCGCGCCGCAUUAGCUAGUUGGUAAGGUAACGGCUUACCAAGGCAACGAUGCGUAGCCGACCUGAGAGGGUGAUCGGCCACACUGGAGCUGAGACACGGUCCAGACUCCUACGGGGGGCAGCAGUAGGGAAUCUUCCGCAAUGGGCGAAAGCCUGACGGAGCAACGCCGCGUGAGUGAUGAAGGUCUUCGGAUCGUAAAACUCUGUUAUUAGGGAAGAACAAAUGUGUAAGUAACUAUGCACGUCUUGACGGUACCUAAUCAGAAAGCCACGGCUAACUACGUG
This 497-nucleotide ribosomal RNA is filed under the name uncultured bacterium. RNAcentral describes it as "partial 16S ribosomal RNA". It matches the Rfam family "Bacterial small subunit ribosomal RNA", at positions 28 to 507 of the family's 1533-position model. The record is from RNAcentral.